CAUCUUGUACAGGAUGUAGGCAUUAUUGACAGCGACGCUGAUAGCAAACCAGAACACCUGCUGCCAGGUCUUGUUGGGUUUGUGAGAGGUGAAGUACUUUCUGUACUUGUCAUCGUAUCUGCAGAUGUAGCUGAGGUGGGUGGCAAAGGCCUGUACAGCCAGGGGACAGGGGAUCUGUCCACCUCUCCUCUUAAUGAUGACACCUUGCUGCACCAGAGAAUAGGCAUUGGUAAGGAAGCUGAAGCGGCUCUUAUUAUAGCGGCAGAUCAGGGACAUAGUCCGCUACAUCUUGAUCUGGUGCUGGCCAUGGGCAGGGGGCGUGGCCAGGCUGGCCAGCAUGGAUGGUGGGAAGCAUGUACCGUCACUCUUCCCAGGGCUAAGCAGACCACAGCAUGGAAGAUGCCCUGCAGGGCAUCCAGGAAAGGCUGGACCUUAUAGAGCCACGUGCCACCCUGCCUUGGAGCCAGCUGAUUAUGGACUGAAACCUCUACAAGCUGUGAGCUAAAUAAACUUUUCCUUCCUUAAAUUUGGGUGUCAGGUAUUUUGUCUCGGCAACAGGAGAAAAGUAACCAAGACACUCAUGGAAGCUAAAUAAGGCUUUUGUCAAGAAAAAAGAAAAUAUUUUUGAGGGCAAGCAAGAUAUAGAAGUCAACACAUAUGACGAAGAUUCUCACUGGGAAGUUUAUCUUAUCCCAGAGGAUAUCAAGAAAGACCCCAAGCAAUAGCAUGCCUGGCACAAAUACUUUGUACAAUUUUUGCAGCUCAAAUGAUGUCAAGAUAGCCUCGCUUACGUUGCAACAGAAACUCUCAAGAGUUCUGUGACUGCUGGGCAUAGUGGCCCACACUUAUAAUCCCAGCACUCAGGAGGCUGAGGCAGGAGGAUUGCCUGAGAUUGAGGACAGCCUGGACUACACAGUGAGUUCAAGACUAGCCUGGACUACAUAGUGAGACCCUUUCUCAAAACAUUUUUAAAAAAGAGUUCUGUGACUUACAGCAAUCUGCAAACUACAGUCUUGUGGCCAACUGGCCCUUCAUCUGUUUUUAUAAAGUUUUAUUGGAACACAGCCACGUCUACUCAAGUACAUAUUUUCUGUACACCUAGAGCAAAGUUGAUUGGUUGUACAUAGACGGUAGAGUGUGCAGCACCUAAAAUACUAUCUCUUCCUUUAAAGAAAAACGUACAUAUUACCCUCCUAUCAUAUUAUUUUGAAUUUUUUUCUUUAAAAUAAAAAAGAAAAAGAAUGUUCAGGGGAGGAGGGGAGAGGUUGAAGGGAGAGUAGGGGAGUGGAGGAAAAAAGAAGUUAUAUCAUAUAUAGAUACAAAUUCUCUAUGAUGAAUGUGAUCUGUGUAAAAAAUAAUAAAAUAAAUGUUGGACAGCCACCUGUGGCUGAUGGCUACCGUACUGGGGAAAAAAAAGAAAAAAAAGAAAAGAAAAAUUUGCAAACUCCUGUCUUAAAACUGAUACACAUGCAUCACAGUUCAGUAGAACACUCUGCUCGGGGUCGUCACUCAGGAGAUGCAGGCUGAUGGGGAAGCAUUACUGUGCUGUAUGGAAAGAGAACACUAGUAGUUAAAUGCUCUGCACAGGCAAACAUGCAAGGUGAGCCUUCGUCAUAUGACCCCGCCCAACCAGGAGGGGCUCAUGGGAUGACGUUCUGUCAGAAACUGGGUGAAUCUAAAACACCUGGUGAACACGCAUGGCUGUCUGCUUUCACUUCUUGCAUGCAGCUUUUUCAUCUCAUUCUUUUGAUAUUCUGACCUUCUUUCAGUAUCAGCAAGUCCAGGAAGACCAGUAAAUACAAAACAAAACAAGCCUUUUGACUGACUUCCUGACCAGCCCAACGCCAUGAUCUCAGUAAGCCAAAUGUGUCUGUUUCUCCUUGACAGGGACAGGACUAAAAGCUUUUAUGUGAUUUUUCUACUAUGUUACUGUCAUGCUACAGCCUUUUUUUCCUCCUAAUCUAAAGCCAUACAGUAAUAUAAGGUCUUUUUUGUUGUUGUUUUUGUUUUUUUUCUGGUACCGGGAAUCGAACUCACAACCUUGCCCUUGCCAGGCAGGCACUGUGCUGCUGAGCUAAAUCCCCAGCCCCCAUAGGGUCAUUUUAUCACUGAAGAAGUAGGACAUACCCUUUGGUUUUCCCAGCUGAAUAUGUCUAUGUGUGGAGAACACUUUCACAAGAGUUCCCAAACCAUGGUUCUAAAGUUAUACAACAAAAAAAUAAAAAUAAAAAAGUUAUACAACAUAUUAUUAUGGUUGUUUGGUUUUUUUUCUUGGUCUUUUUGAGACAGGGUCUCACUAUGCAGUUCAGGCUGGACUUGAGCUCACUUUGGAGCUCAGGCGAGUCUCGAACUCACAACAAUCCUCCUGCCUCAGCCUCACGAGCGCUGGGAUUACAGGCGUGCGCCACCAGGCCCAGCUUGUCCACCUUUUCUUAAUUGUAAUGACAGUUAAAACUACAGCAUCCUAAUUUGUAGAAGUACAAUACAUUUAGAAUAUAUUUUCAGUUUUCAAAAACUACUAUCAUUUCUUCUUUUUUUUGAGACAAGGUCUCACUGUGUAGUCCAGACUGGCCUUGAACUCGCUUAUGUAGCCCAGGCUGGCCUCAAACUCACAAUGAUCCUCCUGUCUCAGCCUCCCAAGUGCUAGGAUUACAGGCCUGCACCACUAUGCCCGGCUUAUCAUUUCUUAAUGAGCAUUGUUAGAAGCUAUAUGAUGUGUUCAGCAUCAUAGAUUAAAUACUUUAGCCACAGCAAUAAAAUCUUUCAUAGAGUUACUUGUGCGAGUUGCAUAUUUUUUAAUUUAACUGCACCAUUGUUUUCAUGUUGGUCUGGGCUAUUUUUUUUUUUUUUCCUUUUUGUGGGGACAGGAUCUCAUUCUGUAAUUCAGACUGGCCUUGAACUCAAGCAAUCCUCCUGCCUCAGCCUCCCGAGUACUAGGAUUACAGGCAUGGGCCAUCAUGCCCAGCUUAUGUUUGCUUUUGAGACAGAGUCUCAUUAUGUAGCUCAGGCUCAUUUUAAACUCACUGUACAGCUCAGGCUGGCCUUGAACUCAAGCAAUCCUCCUGC
Molecule: long non-coding RNA, 3066 nt
Filed under: Chinchilla lanigera (long-tailed chinchilla)
Lineage: Eukaryota; Metazoa; Chordata; Mammalia; Rodentia; Chinchillidae
Description: lncRNA (ENSCLAG00000023121.1)
Source: RNAcentral